Small nucleolar RNA from Coffea eugenioides, 107 nucleotides. The record is from RefSeq and is a predicted model, not a curated record. Lineage: Eukaryota; Viridiplantae; Streptophyta; Magnoliopsida; Gentianales; Rubiaceae.
AGACCAUGGUAGGGAGAUCUUCUUUGAAGAUUCUUGAAUCUCUCUCAAAUUUCAUAUAACAACUCACUUUCAUGUUGAAUAAAACCUGUGAUAUCUAUACGAAGUUU